Molecule: long non-coding RNA, 3654 nt
Organism: Gallus gallus (chicken)
Lineage: Eukaryota; Metazoa; Chordata; Aves; Galliformes; Phasianidae
Exons: 7
Source: RefSeq, a predicted model, not a curated record
AAUGGCGGGAGGGGGCGCCCCUCUGCCGGGCCCCGAGUGGACGGCACCCUGCUGCGGGGCUGCGGCCGUGGGCGGAAGCCGGGCCGGGGCCGGGGCCGGGGCCGGGGCGGGGGACGGAGGUAGCCAAGGUGGCAGGGUUGGCCUGGGGGACCGCAGCCCAGAGGGGUGGGGACGGCGGCGGUUUGUCCCCGCGGGCAGAGAUUAACACUGGUGUCCCUUUGAUCCGCGCUCGGACACUCCGAAUUUACUUCCUAUAAAUCACAUCAUUGUGGAGUCUUUCCAGCCAACGAAUGUCGAAGAUUGAGCUCUCCGUCCUUUGGAGGUUUCUGUUUGUUUUUCCCCACAAUUGUGCCUGUGCUGUUCCUGCUCUCCCAGCCUUGGAGCACUGACUCCAGAGCCGUUUCUUAGCAUAAUCUGUUCAGGAGAUUGCUCUGCUUCCUCUCUGGCUGAUGUUUUCCCCCGAUCCAGCUGAUGCGCUCCCACAGCCGCUGCUCUAGAAGAGUCACUUCACAAAGAUACGAAGAUCUUGGUCUGCCCUGGUUUUAAUGACACAGGUAGGAUCCCGGUCAAGAACAAAAACCUGUCACAGCUCCAAGCCUUUAAAUUUAGUCUCUUGGGUAGUUCAGCUAGCAGUGUCAAGACCCAAAGAGAACAGAAGACACUCUCUGACAUGUGAAAGCUAAGAUGGCUUUGAAUUUCACGAUGUUGCAAUCGGAAAGCCUUGAACGCUUCAGGAUCAGUUCUAAUAUUUUCCUGUUGAUACUCAGUGUGGCUCACCACAGCUGGCUGAGAGAAAAAAAGCCCAAACUGCUCAUUUGCCCUGACAAGUCUUCACUCCCUGUGUUUUUGAUGAUUGUCUGUGCUCCGUGCUUGACUUCAGCAGCAGCUAAUAAGUAACUCCUGAUCCAGCAAAACUUCCAAAGGUUGACAGAUAUCACUUGAGCUCCCAUUUCAGAGUAGAUGGAAGCAUUCAUGAUAAAAUAUGGAGACUUUGGAACCAUGAGAAGAACACUCAGACUCCUGAGCAGCUGCCUGGGACCUCCACCACACAUGCAAAAAAGCUCAGUAUAUGUCUUGCUGAUACCUGCUCUUAAUGGCGUAAGGGUCAUUGUAGCCAAACUGCUGUGUUAGGGACCAAGACUACGGAAAAAAAUUCAUCAGCUAUAUUUACACUGAUGCAGCAGAAUUGCCAGGUCGCAGCCUGUACCAAUGGUUGAGCACCAGGUGAGGUGUGGCUAACCCAGGGAGCUCAGGAGCAAACAAUGCACCUGAGUGACGGAAAGGGGUGGACUUUGGGUCUGCCCCUCCUCUCCCUCAUUUAAGGGUUAGCAGCCAAGGGAACAACAUACCUUUAAGAGAGAUAGUGUUCUUCUUGAGCUGUUACUGGUUGUUGGAGGAGUGAGCCAAUUUUUCUGCUUUGUUACCUCCUGUUGCCCUAUAGUGCUUGUAUCCCUUUAGAAGCCACUGUUAUUGCCUUUUGCUGUACAACUGGUAAACUGAAGAGGCCAAUGCUCAGGCAUUGCUGUGCAGAGCUCUCACAGCUGAAUUGUGAGCAUGUUGCCUGGCAGUUUUGGCACUAUGACUUUUAGGGCUCUCUUAAAAGCUAUCUGGACGUGGCUUGGAGGAAAACAUGAAAUAUUGACUGUUCCCCAUAGACGUUUUGGUAUCAUCACGCUUUAUUGGAGGAAGAAGAAAAUUUAGUUCUGUGAUGUUAGCGUGCUACGCUAUUUGGCCUCGAAACUGAAAGGGCAAGGUCUGAAAAACAAAGAGAAAGGGUCUGUGUUGUGAGCCAAUAGAGGUGGACCUGUCCUGGAGCAAAACUUGUUGCUGCUGCAUAUAUGGCCUUAGGCUCUCUGGCUUUGGGGGAAGUUUCUUUUUUGUUUUAUGUUUUCAACAUGCUUAAAUAUAUACAGAAAUACAUGCAUAGCCAUGUGGCUUUUCAAAUUAGGAAACCCCUUUCCAAUACUCACUCAUUACAACUUGAGGUUAUUUACAUGCUCAUUAUUACUGUCUGUCCUUUAUCCAAGGUCUUCUCAUUCAAGCACUUCAUGAGUGCUUACAUGGUCAUUUCUUACAGUGUUUCUUGCUACAGUUCAGUAAAAAAUAACUAUUGCCUUGUUCCCUCUUAUUACUGGGAACUUACCUAACACAGCAGAUGAGUUCUUUUGACCUCAGAGCAUCACUUGGCUUCGUAUGGAUCCUUUUGAGCACCUUUCUCAUUGACACUGAUACCUGAUUUAGAGCCUGUAUGUGAAAAUUCCUUUGUGCUGAUAUUAAGCGUACAAUUCAGAGGCUAUUCUGGUGCCAUUUAGCCUGAACAUCAGGCUUCUAAUCUAAAUUUGUGAGAACGUAAAACAUUUUUUUCAGUCAGUCCCAGGACUUUUUUUCCCCAUUUGGACUUUCCUCGUUUGCUCUCAGAGGUACGGGAUAGGCAUUCACCAGUUCCUCAGUCUUUACAGAGGUAAUUGUCAGAUGGUAUUUUUACAUAAGAAGGUCAUCAAGUUACAGGUGAGAAUAUAACUGAAUAAUUGGUUUUCCCUUUCAAACAUGUGUGGCCUCUCGUCUCUAGAGCAUUUGCUGUUUUAAAAAUAAGUAUUUUUCCUGUUUUCAUCAAUUUUCUUGCCUGCAUACCCGCUCUUCUCCCCAAAAUCAUAUCCUCAAGGUAGCUAAACCUGAGUUUGAUAUGGAUCUAAGUUCAAAAUCAAAGUGUACUCUGUAGAUUCUGACUAUAGACUUAUGAACUUACUCCAAGAUAUUCAAGGCAAUCAGGUAUUUGGACUGAAAUCUAUCUAGAAUAAAAAUUAUGCUGAUCAGGAAGGGCCACGAGGCAAUCAAGGAACUAAAUGCUUCAUAACACUGUGCUGUGUACAAUAGUGCCCAUCUACAUCUAGCAUCACUGGAAUGAAUGUAUCUGCUUACAGACUGAGAAACUCUUUGCUUCAGUGAGGGCCAGAAAUGCUGACUUACUUGCUAAAGUGAAGGUGACUCAUAACAUUUACACAGAAUAAGACAUGAAAGAGUUCAAUUGAACAAUCUGGGAUUCUUUUUUUAACUCUUGACAGCCCUAUGGUACCGAGUCACAAGCUCCUGCGUAUACUUCAGCUUCCAUGGUUUUACAGAAUCCUUUUCCACUGAAAGGGAAAGUUCACCUACCCUGGUUUAGAAACCACAAGCUUUUAAAUAAACUUCUUGUUUUGUUUGAGUUGAAAAAAAUUAAUGACUUCAGUGAGGGUCUACUUAUUUUUUUUUAAUUUUUUUUUAAGACUCUCAUGCUGGUUUUGUACACUUUGAAGCUUCCCAUGUACUUGCAGUAAGGAGUAAGCUACAAAAGGGUUCAACUUCAAGAAAACUGCUCGCCUUCAUAAACUUCCUAUCACAACCAAGGUAGUAACUCUUGGGAUCUUUUCAACUUCUAUAUGCUCAGAUGGUUGAAAGCAUUUUGUCACCCUAGGAACAUCCAGAGUAAUGUGAUUGGUAGUAAAGUAAAGAAAAAUUAAGAAAAUAAUUGCAAGACACAAGUUGUUGUAAGAAAACGUUCUUUGAUAUUCCCUAGGAAUGUUCUUACGUGGAUACUUUAGGAAAAAAGAAAAAGGAAAUACUUCAAAGCUUUUGUAUUGUUUGUGCAUUAUGUAGGAUAAAAUUAUUUACCUUUCA